CGCGUAGGCGGGUGUUUAAGUCAGAUGUGAAAACUAUGGGCUCAACCGAUAGACUGCAUUUGAAACUGGACAUCUUGAGGGCAGGAGAGGAAAGUGGAAUUCCUAGUGUAGCGGUGAAAUGCGUAGAUAUUAGGAGGAACACCAGUGGCGAAGGCGACUUUCUGGACUGUACCUGACGCUGAGGCGCGAAAGCGUGGGGAGCGAACA
This 207-nucleotide ribosomal RNA is filed under the name uncultured Bacillota bacterium. RNAcentral describes it as "uncultured Firmicutes bacterium partial 16S ribosomal RNA". It matches the Rfam family "Bacterial small subunit ribosomal RNA", at positions 568 to 774 of the family's 1533-position model. The record is from RNAcentral. Lineage: Bacteria; Bacillati; Bacillota.